GAUGAAGAACGUAGCGAAAUGCGAUAAGUAAUGUGAAUUGCAGAAUUCCGUGAAUCAUCGAAUCUUUGAACGCACAUUGCGCCCCCUGGUAUUCCGGGGGGCAUGUCUGUCCGAGCGUCAUUGCAACCCUCAAGCGCGGCUUGUGUGUUGGGCUUCGUCCCCCCGUGGACGUGCCCGAAAGGCAGUGGCGGCGUCCCGAAUGGUGCCCGAGCGUAUGGGAACUCUCUUCCGCUCGAACCGGCCCAUUCGGCGCUGGUCGAACCCCAAUUUUUUUUUACCGGUUGACCUCGGAUCAGGUAGGGAUACCCGCUGAACUUAAGCAUAUCAAUAAGCGGAGGA
RNAcentral lists this unclassified non-coding RNA (339 nucleotides) under soil metagenome. RNAcentral describes it as "partial contains 5.8S ribosomal RNA, internal transcribed spacer 2, and large subunit ribosomal RNA". The stretch from base 1 to 120 matches the Rfam family "5.8S ribosomal RNA", at positions 35 to 154 of the family's 154-position model. The record is from RNAcentral.